CAAAAGUUUUAUUCUAGCUUAGAAUUUGGGUUUAAUUAGAUUUUACAUGUAAGUUCGAGCAUUUAGGUGAUGGUUUAAAUAGUCAUUUUGGUUAAAUUAUUUGCAGUGGGGAAAUUUAAAUAUCAACGUGAGUUGGAUUUAGGCAUAAUUAAAUUAAUGUUGACAAAGUUUGUGCCAGCAGUUGCGGUUACACAGGCGACAUUAUUCAAAUUUUUCGGUUAUAGUUAGUUUGUUUAGUUUUCUUAUAGGUGUAAUUUUUUAAGUGAAAUUUUAAAUUAUUCUAAGGUUUAUUUUAAUAGGCGAGGCUAAGAAAUUCCAUUUUAAACUAGGAUUAGAUACCCUAUUAUUAGGAAUGUUAAUUUUAAUGCUGGGUCAGUAGUAGUUUUGUUCUUGAAAAUUAAAGAUUUUGGCGGUACUUUAGUCCAUUCAGAGGAACCUGUCCUAUAAUUGAUGGUCCACGAUUUUAUAGACUUUUUUUAAUAGUUUACAUAUCGUCGUAGUUUGAAUAUACUAGAAGGUUAAUAAUGUUCAAAAUUCCUUUCAGGAGGGAAAUCAGAUCAAGGUGUAGCUUAUAAAAAAGAAGAGAUGGGUUACAAUAAAACUAUUUAGGGAUUUUCAUGUUUGGAUGUGAGAUAAAUUUGGAUUUGACGGUAAUUUAAAUUAAAUUAUUUAGGUGAUUUAGGCUCUAGAGUAUGCACAUAUCGCCCGUCGCUUUCACUCUAAGGUGAAAUAAGUCGUAACAUAGUAGGCCUACCGGAAGGUGGGCCUGGAUAGAC
Molecule: non-coding RNA, 776 nt
Filed under: Utra nitida
Lineage: Eukaryota; Metazoa; Arthropoda; Insecta; Coleoptera; Cerambycidae
Source: RNAcentral